Molecule: ribosomal RNA, 490 nt
Filed under: uncultured bacterium
Lineage: Bacteria
Description: partial 16S ribosomal RNA
Rfam family: Bacterial small subunit ribosomal RNA
Source: RNAcentral
AUUGAACGCUGGCGGCAGGCCUAACACAUGCAAGUCGAACGGUAACAGGAAGCAGCUUGCUGCUUCGCUGACGAGUGGCGGACGGGUGAGAAAUGUCUGGGAAACUGCCUGAUGGAGGGGGAUAACUACUGGAAACGGUAGCUAAUACCGCAUAACGUCGCAAGACCAAAGAGGGGGACCUUAGGGCCUCUUGCCAUCGGAUGUGCCCAGAUGGGAUUAGCUAGUAGGUGGGGUAACGGCUCACCUAGGCGACGAUCCCUAGCUGGUCUGAGAGGAUGACCAGCCACACUGGAACUGAGACACGGUCCAGACUCCUACGGGAGGCAGCAGUGGGGAAUAUUGCACAAUGGGCGCAAGCCUGAUGCAGCCAUGCCGCGUGUAUGAAGAAGGCCUUCGGGUUGUAAAGUACUUUCAGCGGGGAGGAAGAGAGUAAAGUUAAUACCUUUGCGCAUUGACGGUACCCGCAGAAGAAGCACCGGCUAACUCCGUG